Mirounga angustirostris (Northern elephant seal) is the source of this 2553-nucleotide long non-coding RNA. RefSeq lists it as uncharacterized. The transcript has 2 exons. The record is from RefSeq and is a predicted model, not a curated record. Lineage: Eukaryota; Metazoa; Chordata; Mammalia; Carnivora; Phocidae.
ACAUUCACCUCCAACCCAGGAGGGUUAACUUUUCCCAUAUAAGGUGAUCUGGAAGAGCUUUUUUCCUGUCCUGUCUGCGCCCAGCCCACAUAGACAUAUUUCGUCUCUGUCUUUCUGCAUAUAUACAUAGUGGAGCCGGCCAUUGAGCAAGAGACUAAAUACCAAGUUGCAUUGCUCUGGAUGAGGUCUUUUCUCCUGUUAAAGAACACAUUAUUCAGACACUUGUUGAAGACGACUUUCCGCGAGAGGACACAGAAACGUCUUUGGCUACUAUUGUUAUCACUCGGUUUGCAACUCAAAGGAAUGAGGCUGCACCUGCCGUGGGCCAGUGCUCAGGUGGAGGUAAUGCAAUGGGGAGAAUCCGAGCUGGGGCCAGGGCCGAGGCUGGACCGCAGGCCAAGCAGAGGCCAGGAGAAGCACGAUGGGGAGAAAGCCUGGGGAUGGUGCCCAUGCUGUCCACCUGCUUGUAGCGUCUGCCUGGGCUCAUGUCAGGGAUGGUCUGCACGACGCCUGGAGACAGGGAAGUAACUCUGCGAAUCUGCUCUUUCAAGGAGCAUUUAUGGAGCAUCGACUGUAUGCCAGGUACACUGCUGCAGGACUAGGACGCUGAGGAGGCAGGAGGAACUUGAGCACGGCUCCGUGGUUUCUACGACUCCCUGGAGGAACGAUGGCUUCCUUCCUUAAAAGCGUGGCCAGCUCCUUCCACCUGAAGGUGAAGGCCGAACAACUGCCCAUUCCGGAGGAUGGAUGAUGACCCUUGACUGCCCAGACCCAGCUCGCCUGUUGGGCCCCUCCUCUGAAAUCCCUCGGGAAGCCCCUCUACCCCCAGAUCACGUCUGAUUCCUGGAUGUUUCUGGAAUGCAUCAAGCAGGCUGCAAAACUGCCACCCCCCGAAUUCCAUUCCCCCUGCCUCCACACCUUCUCCCCUGGUCCCUUCCUGCUCAUCCUUCCAAGCCGGGUUAGUGGGCCCCGGCCUCGUGGCCCUCCCUGACCACUCCUUCUGCUCUCCCCACCCAACCCCUACCGUCCCCCAAACCAGCAGCCUCCAUCAUGCUGGCAUCCGGGCUCCAAUGGUGCUCCCAGCUGGCAGGGAUGGACCGGAUCAUCACGAGUUGCUUCCGUGAUGUCUCUCCUCCUGAACUGUACCAGCGGGAAGAGGCUUGUCUUUUUCAUCUCGGUGCCCACCCAGCGCCUGGCACUCAGUGAGCUGUCUAAGCAGCGAGGGUGAGAAAUAUUUUCACCUAAGGAACUGCAGAACUUUCUCCAGUGUUGGGAGGACAGGAACCUCAACUAUGGGUGCAGCCUCCCCUCUGACUAAUUUUCAUUCAACUCCCAGUAUAAAUAGCUCCCUUUGCCCAUAUCAGAAAACAUCUGCUCCCACUAGCUGCCCAGGCCUGUACCAGCUCUAUAAAUAUCCUGGCUGCAUCUCAGCUGCUCUGGCGAGGGGACCAAGAGAACUUGGAACGAGUGAACACCAAGCAAGAUGAGGGCAGUGGGAGCGAAGAAGCAGAGAUCGCCCCAUCUCCCCCUCUUGCGCCUCCAGGCACAGGCUGACAGUGCCUCCCACUUGGGCUUGGAAACCCCCAGCAGUAUUCCUGGGAAUUCGGCAGAGACAGAUAAAUGUCAGCUACUCCUGGUCUCAUGGUUUUCAACACGCUGUCUGAUGCAAAGCCCCAGCUCCUCUCUCACCAGCUGAGGGGCAGCUUGAAAUGCAGUUCGAGCCAGCCCUCCCCAUUCCAGCAGGGCUCUGGAGAUGCAGGAUGGGAGAUGAUACGGCUUCGAAAGGGUUGCGUUUUAUGCACCUUUAUAAGGAGUCAUGUAAUUCUCUGCUCCUUGGAGCUACUUUUUCUGUUUGAUAAACCAGAGGGCUAAAUUCCUCAGAGUAUUGUGCUCUAGAACCUGCAGAUUUCCAAGGAGGAUAAAAGGGGGGUUAGUGUUUGGGAGAAGGAAUGUGGGAAACAGACGGGUUCCGUCUAAAAACACCAGCAGCAGACAUCACGUGCUGUGUUUGUAAAACCGGGGUGCGGUGCAGACAGUAUUUGUGGGUGCACAGGAGUGAAAGCCCCUUCUUCGCUCCCCAGCCUGUUCCAUACUCCCGGGGGGGGCCGGUUUCUCUUCAAACCCCCUAGUGAAAUGUCUGGCAGCCCAGUGACCCUCAGUGGCUGCUGGAUAACGAAAUGUUUCCUGGUCACUUUGAGUCAACAGGGUCUCAGUGCCCCAGAGAUUCACUGAAGUUAAAUUUCUUCCCACCCACCUCAGCUGCUCCCGACCAGAAGCUGUGAUAGGAUAUGGGGGAGGGGCCCUUCUCGAAGCAUCCUCCCUGUAGGAGUCUGAGUUCUCCAGAGAAACAGGACCAUUACAGGGGCGCCUGGGUGGCUCAGUUGGUUAAGCGACUGCCUUCAGCUCAGGUCAUGAUCCUGGAGUCCUGGGAUCAAGUCCCGCAUCGAGCUCCCCGCUCAGCGGGGAGUCUGCUUCUCCCUCUCCCACUCCCCCCUCUUGUGCUUUCUCUCUCAAAUAAAUAAAUAAAAUCUUAAAAAAAAAAAAAAGAAACAA